This is a long non-coding RNA of Mastomys coucha (southern multimammate mouse), 840 nucleotides long. RefSeq lists it as uncharacterized. The transcript has 3 exons. NCBI's taxonomy places the organism in Eukaryota, Metazoa, Chordata, Mammalia, Rodentia, Muridae. The record is from RefSeq and is a predicted model, not a curated record.
GAGGCAGGUGGAUGCAGCAGAAACUAAAAAAGCCUAAAAUAGUAGUUUAUGAUAUAUUAACCCCCAUGACUCACUGAGCCUGGGACAUUUGCAAGGUGGCAUAAACCGAGAGUUUACUGACCGUUGAGGCGGAAGGUUCGGUGGCGGGGGCGGGAAGCAAGAGGGCAGUUAAGUGAGCAAUAAACAUCAGGUGGUUUGAGUCCAGCUUAGGACCACUGUCCUUGACACAGGCAGAACGAUGGUCGGGCAGGGAACAAUACUACAGAAAAGCUCUAACUUGUCCUGCUGCAGGUCCUCUCUGAAUCCUUAAAUACGAAAGAAGACCCUUAAGAGCCGGUCUUUCAGCGGUGUAACCGCUGCUUCGCGGCUCACAUUCUCGUAAAUAACUCACCAUCAUGCUUCUGUAAGCAACUGUAUUUCAACUCGCUGGGGCAUCAAACGAAUAAACAAAAAGGGCAAUAAGACCUAGACUCCUGAUUUCCUGGGAAGCCACAUCCUGAGAACUGGUUUGCACAGGACUGAUACGGAGGUCUUCUCCAAUCCCUGGUACAGAGCUCACCUACGGCCACGACUCUACGGCCACGACUCCUGGACUCAAGAUUACAGUGCUGACGGCUGUCUAAACUACGAUGUUAUAAAGAAUGUUUCUGGGAAGAAAUACCUAGAACACAGCCCACAAGAGGGUGAGCCCUAAGAUGUGCAAUGACCAUGGUCUCUGUGUGGACAUGACACCCUGCAGUAUGAUCGUGUAAUAAAAAAGGCAAGCCAACCCAUAAUGCCAACAGGGUACCGAUUGCUCUUAAUGUAUAUUUUAAUAUUAAUAAAUUAUUGCUCUGAUAA